CUUAGAUAUUUUAAAUACAAAAAAUAUUCGCCAGAGAAUUACGAGCUAAACAUGCUUAAAACUCUAAGGACUUGGCGGUACCUCAAACCCACCUAGAGGAGCCUGUUCUAUAAUCGACAAUCCACGAUUCACCUCACCAUCUCUUGCCAACUCCGCCUAUAUACCGCCGUCAUAGCCUACCUUAUGAAAGACAAAAAGUAAGCAAAAUAAUCUAAGCAAUUAAUAAAUCAGGUCAAGGUGUAGCUUACUGAGAUGGAAGAAAUGGGCUACAUUUUCUAUAUUAGAAAUAACUACGGAAAGAUACCCUGAAAUAGGUUCUACAAGCAGGAUUUAGCAGUAAACUGGGAAAAGAG
RNAcentral lists this ribosomal RNA (353 nucleotides) under Kinosternon subrubrum hippocrepis. Its description in RNAcentral is "partial 12S ribosomal RNA". It matches the Rfam family "Bacterial small subunit ribosomal RNA", at positions 875 to 1354 of the family's 1533-position model. The record is from RNAcentral. Lineage: Eukaryota; Metazoa; Chordata; Testudines; Kinosternidae.